RNAcentral lists this ribosomal RNA (510 nucleotides) under uncultured bacterium. RNAcentral's name for it is "partial 16S ribosomal RNA". It matches the Rfam family "Bacterial small subunit ribosomal RNA", at positions 28 to 507 of the family's 1533-position model. The record is from RNAcentral.
GACGAACGCUGGCGGCGUGCUUAACACAUGCAAGUCGAACGAAGAGCGAUGGAAGCUUGCUUCUAUCAAUCUUAGUGGCGAACGGGUGAGUAACGCGUAAUCAACCUGCCCUUCAGAGGGGGACAACAGUUGGAAACGACUGCUAAUACCGCAUACGAUCUAAUCUCGGCAUCGAGGAUAGAUGAAAGGUGGCCUCUACAUGUAAGCUAUCACUGAAGGAGGGGAUUGCGUCUGAUUGGCUAGUUGGAGGGGUAACGGCCCACCAAGGCGAUGAUCAGUAGCCGGUCUGAGAGGAUGAACGGCCACAUUGGGACUGAGACACGGCCCAGACUCCUACGGGAGGCAGCAGUGGGGAAUCUUCCGCAAUGGUCGAAAGUCUGACGGAGCAACGCCGCGUGAGUGAUGACGGCCUUCGGGUUGUAAAGCUCUGUUAAUCGGGACGAAAGGCCUUCUUGCGAAUAGUGAGAAGGAUUGACGGUACCGGAAUAGAAAGCCACGGCUAACUACGUG